RNAcentral lists this transfer RNA (74 nucleotides) under Spirochaetota bacterium. RNAcentral's name for it is "Spirochaetes bacterium tRNA-Arg". It matches the Rfam family "tRNA". Rfam says of the family: Transfer RNA (tRNA) molecules are approximately 80 nucleotides in length. Their secondary structure includes four short double-helical elements and three loops (D, anti-codon, and T loops). The record is from RNAcentral. Lineage: Bacteria; Pseudomonadati; Spirochaetota.
GCGUCCGUAGCUCAGGUGGAUAGAGCAGUGGACUUCGAAUCCAAAGGUCGCAGGUUCGAAUCCUGCCGGGCGUG